This 252-nucleotide ribosomal RNA is filed under the name uncultured bacterium. RNAcentral's name for it is "partial 16S ribosomal RNA". It matches the Rfam family "Bacterial small subunit ribosomal RNA", at positions 524 to 776 of the family's 1533-position model. The record is from RNAcentral.
UACGUAGGGUGCAAGCGUUGUCCGGAAUUAUUGGGCGUAAAGCGCGCGCAGGCGGUUUUUUAAGUCUGGUGUUUAAGCCCGGGGCUCAACCCCGGUUCGCACCGGAAACUGGAAGACUUGAGUGCAGGAGAGGAAAGCGGAAUUCCACGUGUAGCGGUGAAAUGCGUAGAGAUGUGGAGGAACACCAGUGGCGAAGGCGGCUUUCUGGACUGUAACUGACGCUGAGGCGCGAAAGCGUGGGGAGCAAACAGG